Molecule: non-coding RNA, 1018 nt
Organism: Camellia sinensis
Lineage: Eukaryota; Viridiplantae; Streptophyta; Magnoliopsida; Ericales; Theaceae
Source: RefSeq, a predicted model, not a curated record
AAAGGACCUGCUGACCCAUUCUCUAACAGGUAAAAAAAAAAAUUCAAAUAAUUUCUUCACAUCUACCCAUUCUUCUUACCAACUCCCGCCGUCCACUGCCACUCUCUUCCACAAAUCGAUCAAACCGUCGCCACCUCCUACCCUCAGAUUGACCACCUGCUGCCUGCCACCUCUCCCUCAAAUACACCACCCAUUGCCAUUUCCCUGCUUCAGAUCCACUACUCAUGGUCGUUGAUCUACAGAAAUAGAGAGUGGAUGGUGCUGCUACGAGAGGAGUAGGGGUCCAAUAGAUAGUGUUGAGGAGUGUACUGAAGCUUGAGUUCUGAUCCCUUCCUCUUCUCAUCUCAUUCUUAUCAGUUAUGAUUCUUGCAUCCUUCCGAGCUAUGGAGAUGGAGGUGUAGGUGAGGAAAGCAAUGGUACAUUGGCGAUGAAGGUGAAGAUGAUGAAGCAAAGAGCGGAGACGGUGGGUGCACUAGUGAUGGAACGAAUAGAGAGAGAAAGGGGAAGAAGGGGAAGAUGGAGACAGAUAAAGGGCCAAAAUCUUCUCAUUCAAGAGUCAGUAAAAAUUCCAUUCCAAUUGAACACUCAAUUCAUAAAGGCGCACUAACUAUACAAGUUGAAACAAGGGCCCUCUUACCACAGAACAAAAUGUAUACAACAAUUUCUAAAUCUCCGUCAUCGUCGAUGGUAGUCGGUGGUUGCGAGAGGAGAGAGGAAGGCAAGUUGCGAGAGGAGAUUGGUGGCCGGAUGUCAUUGCCAGUAGUCAUCAUCGCGAGAGAUGAGAGAGAGAAGAGAAGAGGUCGGAUCUCGUUGGAGACCGAGGAAAGAGAGCACGGUUAGGAAGAGAGAAGAUAUAUAUAUAUAUAGAGAGAGAGAGAGAGAGAGAGGAGCGUAGGUGCCUUCACGUGGGUCUCAGCCACAUCAUUGGGGAUGGAAAUAGAGAGAUGAAUCAUUUUUCAAUGUCACAAUCUGCACUUCAUGAUAUAUAUUCUAGUGAAGAAAUUUUUUUCAAUGUGCA